Molecule: long non-coding RNA, 667 nt
Filed under: Ananas comosus (pineapple)
Lineage: Eukaryota; Viridiplantae; Streptophyta; Magnoliopsida; Poales; Bromeliaceae
Description: long non-coding RNA (ACOM_LNC035416)
Source: RNAcentral
GAUUUUAUUUCUCACUCUACGGGUGUCAGAAAAAUAUGAAACUUGAAAUCUAGCCUCAUAAAAAUAUUUCUGAUUUAUUCUCCAAUUUUCAUAAUUUUCUGAGACUGUGCAUUUUCUACUAAUUUAUCUGUCCCGUUUCCAACAGAAAAUUCUAGAUCUUCUGUUUUCAUUCCGAUUUCAGCACAAGUCACUUUUGACUUAUGUUUUACUUCUAUAAAUCCAAUAAAAAUAGUUUCUCACACUAUUUUUAUUUAUUUUUAUUUUUAUACCAAAAUCUGGUAUGUUACAUUCUCCACCCCUUAAAAGAAUUUCGUCCGCGAAAUUCAAACCAUGCCUCAAUUCAGCUCCGCAAGCAAUUGAGGGUACCAACUCAUUCUCCCACUCCAAAGCGGCUUCACCCAAUCGUGGUUCCAAAAGCGGCUCAUACUGAAGGACAUGGGUUUAAUUCUAAACGCAUUUGCAAAGUGUGAUACAAACGUGCAUCACGGGUCUUGCAAGCCAUAGUGGCAGCGCAAGUCGGUACUCGACGACUCUACGCGCUCCAACACCACUCGCCACUCCGUACACAAAGAACUCUUCUUUGCACUAGCCUUCCCUUUUGGGAAUACAUUCCAAUUCGAUCACCGACAUUGCUUAGAAGCAAUAUCACCGGUGCAUCGCUCCGUCG